GUACGUACUACGGUGCUGCAUGGGGAAGAGGAAAGGGGUUGAGGAGGAUUGAGGGUGGUUAGGAAAAGAGUGGAAAGCUAAGGGGACGAGACGAUGUGCGAGAAGGAGGACGGUUUACACGCUUCUGCUCGCGCGAUUCGACGACGUAGGAGAGAAGCAAUCGUAGAUCUUAUGGUUAAACGGAUAAGAAGAAUGUUGGAUGACGGCUCGAAGAAUAGGAGAAGCAAACGAAAAAGAUGGGUAACUGGAGAAGAAAGGCAAGUUGCAAA
RNAcentral lists this long non-coding RNA (269 nucleotides) under Polistes fuscatus (common paper wasp). Its description in RNAcentral is "uncharacterized LOC122523591". Lineage: Eukaryota; Metazoa; Arthropoda; Insecta; Hymenoptera; Vespidae. The record is from RNAcentral.